Molecule: long non-coding RNA, 895 nt
Organism: Megalobrama amblycephala (Wuchang bream)
Lineage: Eukaryota; Metazoa; Chordata; Actinopteri; Cypriniformes; Xenocyprididae
Exons: 3
Source: RefSeq, a predicted model, not a curated record
CGGAUGCGCUGUCAGCAGGGGGAACACACAUUCCAAAGGGAACAGAAUCGGCUGUUACACCGGGUAGGAAUUUAAUGUCCAACACGAUCCUGAAAGAACCGGAGAAAAGUGCUGCUAUUUGAAGGCUAUUCUGUUAACAGAUGCUGUUCUUCACCAGUUUCUGCAGUCUCUGUGUAAGCGGCCAUCAAACACAAUCAUGAGAAGAUCAUCAGAAAAUCGGAUAUAAUGUGUAAUUUGUAUUUGUGUAUAAAAGGUCAACAUUGGUCCAAUGAUUUUUUUUUCUUUAAUGAAAAACAUGAUUCAGUCAAUUAAGCUCCUCCCACUGCAACACGUAAUCAGUGAAGCUCCUCCCACAUCAAUUCUCCAAUAAAUGCUGGAAUAUUCCCAUCAGACGAGCAUCAGGAAGAGCUGAAAUCUGCAAAGACUGAGUUUAUUAAAGAGGACAGUGAGAACAUGAGUGAUCCAGAACCCUGCAGAAUGAAACACACUGAAGAUACUGAAGAACAAAGAGGUUGGUGUUUAUUCUUCAUUCAUUCAUGAUGCUGAACAACAUUCAUGUUAGAAAGAUUCAAAAACACUUCUGCACAUUUAGAUAUACAGUUAAACUGAAAUUAGUACAAAUGUUUUUCAACAAAUGUUCAGUAAAGGGAGGUUUGAGAAGCUUUCAUAUUAAUUGUCAACAUCAGGUCAAACUAAUAUUUUAACCUGCUGGAGAAUGUUGGCGCACUAAUUUGUUCUUAGUUUUAAUGUUUUAAAGUUAGUUUUAGUAUAAAAGUUUGUAAUUACCUCAAGCUUCAGUUUGUAAUUACCUCAAUGUUUUACUCUUAAAUGUGGCGAUGUGAGCAUUAUGGAGCGCUAUUAUGUCUGUUCCAUUCAUACUGGAAGCCAGAGGGCA